RNAcentral lists this ribosomal RNA (486 nucleotides) under uncultured bacterium. RNAcentral describes it as "partial 16S ribosomal RNA". It matches the Rfam family "Bacterial small subunit ribosomal RNA", at positions 30 to 507 of the family's 1533-position model. The record is from RNAcentral.
AUUGAACGCUGGCGGCAUGCCUUACACAUGCAAGUCGAACGGCAGCACGGGUGCUUGCACCUGGUGGCGAGUGGCGAACGGGUGAGUAAUACAUCGGAACAUGUCCUGUAGUGGGGGAUAGCCCGGCGAAAGCCGGAUUAAUACCGCAUACGAUCUACGGAUGAAAGCGGGGGACCUUCGGGCCUCGCGCUAUAGGGUUGGCCGAUGGCUGAUUAGCUAGUUGGUGGGGUAAAGGCCUACCAAGGCGACGAUCAGUAGCUGGUCUGAGAGGACGACCAGCCACACUGGGACUGAGACACGGCCCAGACUCCUACGGGAGGCAGCAGUGGGGAAUUUUGGACAAUGGGCGAAAGCCUGAUCCAGCAAUGCCGCGUGUGUGAAGAAGGCCUUCGGGUUGUAAAGCACUUUUGUCCGGAAAGAAAUCCUUGGCUCUAAUACAGUCGGGGGAUGACGGUACCGGUAGAAUAAGCACCGGCUAACUACGUG